Molecule: transfer RNA, 96 nt
Filed under: Dipodomys ordii (Ord's kangaroo rat)
Lineage: Eukaryota; Metazoa; Chordata; Mammalia; Rodentia; Heteromyidae
Source: Rfam by way of RNAcentral
GGGAAGGUGGCUCAGUGGUAGAGCGCUUGCCUUGCAUGCAUGACUCCCUGGACCAAAAAAAAGAUGAUUUCUUUGUUGCUUUGUAUGUCCUUCCCC